CCGUGCCACCAACAAAGAUCAGCUCAGCCGAGGAGAGGAAAAGACAAGUCAGAAUUACAAGGCCUAACUCCUUAAUCCUGGAUCCGUGCCUGCAGAAUGAGGAGAGGGGGCUGGAGGCCAUGCCUCCAUUUCAUCAGUAAUGCCUAACGCGGCUCCCGACAGAGUACAUCAUGAGAAAUGCUGGACUGGAAGAAACACAAGCUGGAAUCAAGAUUGCUGGGAGAAAUAUCAAU
This is a long non-coding RNA of Budorcas taxicolor (takin), 233 nucleotides long. RefSeq lists it as uncharacterized. Lineage: Eukaryota; Metazoa; Chordata; Mammalia; Artiodactyla; Bovidae. The record is from RefSeq and is a predicted model, not a curated record. The transcript has 3 exons.